AUGAAUCAUAUUCUGACUGAGAUCCCACUACACCUUCUGUAUGUUUGAUAUGAUAUCCAAAGCUUUGGUUAUGUGUUUCGGUACAUGCUUUGGAUAAGAAUGAUAUGAUUGCAACGUCAAAGACGACGUUUGAGCUUCUGUACGGUAUUUGUUAUUGAUAUGCUCUGAAAAGUUUCAUUCACUGUUGAUAUGCUUCGAAAUGUUCCAUAUGCCGUUGAUAUGCUCCGGAACAUUUCAUACGCUAUUGAUAAGCUCCAAAACAUUUCAUUUGUUAUUGAUAUGCUUCGAAAUGUUCCAAACGCCAUUGAUAUGCUCCGGAACAAUUCAUAUGCCAUUGAUAAGCUCCGAUAUGUUUCAUUUGUUAUUGAUAUGCUUCGAAAUGUACCAUUUGCCAUUGAUAUGCUCCGGAACAUCUCGUACGCUAUUGAUAUGCUCCAAUUACUCUAUGCUCCAUUUGUUAUGAAUCAAAUAUGUUUUGAAUGACAUGAUACAUUUGAUUUUGUAUCUAAUGAGAUGGUAUCCUUGAGAAUUCUUGUAUUCUGCCUUGCAUUAUGAUACCUUACUUGUUUGAAAUCAUUCCUUUUGUUCUGAAUAUGCUUUGUCACUUGCUGAGCUGUUUUUAGCUCACUCCGUUGUUAUAUAAAUCUUUCAAGUCAGCUUGUCACCAUUUGAAAUGUUUGAUUUGGGCUGAGGCAGUGGAUAGCUAUUCAGAAUUAUGGGCAAGUCUUGUUGGUUGUUAUGCUAUUGUUGUAUAAGCAUAUUUUGUAUGUAAUGAAAUGUUGUUGAUGAAUCGAAAUGGAUAUACUGUGUAAAAGUGUUAGAAGAUCUCUCUUAUUUGGAAUUUCGGAAUGUUAAGUCUAAUUUAUGACGAUAUGAACCUGCGGUGAAUAGUUGGAGUUCUGAUUGUAUAAUUUAUUUAGCUUGUGGAUUUAUAAAUGUUGUUCAUGUUUGUCAAGUUGGCUUGGGUUGCCAUAAAUGUGAAUUAUCGAGUGAUAUGAUAUAUGAUUAUAAAUUGCACAGGUUUUAUAGAUGUGAAUUUGAUAGAAUGUUUUCAGUGUCCUCAAAUGUUAGUUUGGAUCCUGGAUUGGUUUGUGAUGAAAUUGUUUUAAU
RNAcentral lists this long non-coding RNA (1110 nucleotides) under Musa acuminata (dwarf banana). RNAcentral's name for it is "long non-coding RNA (MACU_LNC010488)". Lineage: Eukaryota; Viridiplantae; Streptophyta; Magnoliopsida; Zingiberales; Musaceae. The record is from RNAcentral.